Molecule: ribosomal RNA, 305 nt
Filed under: uncultured bacterium
Lineage: Bacteria
Description: bacterial SSU rRNA
Rfam family: Bacterial small subunit ribosomal RNA
Source: RNAcentral
UAUACCUACGGGGCGCAGCAGUGGGGAAUAUUGGGCAAUGGGCGCAAGCCUGACCCAGCAAUGCCGCGUGAAGGAAGAAGGCCCUCGGGUUGUAAACUUCUUUUCUCAGGGACGCCGGAUGUGACGGUACCUGAUGAAUAAGCUCCGGCUAACUACGUGCCAGCAGCCGCGGUAAUACGUAGGGAGCAAGCGUUAUCCGGAUUUACUGGGUGUCACGGGCGCGUAGGCGGGAUGGCCAGUCAGCUUUGCCAUCCAGGGGCUCAACCCCUGCACUGCCUUUGCCACUGUCGUUCUUGAGUACUGGG